GGCAAAGCACCAGGAAACCUAGCUGACUGAACCUAAAACAAUAAGAUAAACAGAGCUAGGUUUCUUCUCCUUGUUUGAUUGAUACCGAUACUGAAUCAUCUCUAUCUUCCAUUCACAGAGCUACUUAAAAUGGCUGGGAGAAAUCGUAUUCAUCGUGAGGCAUAUAAUGACCUUCGUGGGUACCCUCCUGAGAGACCUUUCAUUCGUGGCCCUCCUUUGCCACAUCCUCCUCCUCACCCUGCCUUGUUGGAGGACGAACUUGAGAUGCAGCAAGCUGAAAUCCGUGGGCUCCUUGGUGAUAAUCGUCGGCUGAUUGAUGAUCGGAUGGCUAUGCAGCAAGAGCUUGGUGCUGCCAAGGAGGAACUCCAUCACAUGAAUCUUGUUAUUGCUGAAAUUCGUGCAGAACAUGAAGUGCACUCGAGGGAGCUUAUUGAGAAAGGCUUGAAGCUGGAGGCUGAUAUUCGUGCAACUGAACCAUUGAAGAAUGAGGUUGUACAUCUCCGUGCAGAUGUUCAGAAACUGAAUAAUGUAAAACAGGAACUCCUUGGGCAAAUUCAGAGCCUAAAACAAGACCUUGCUAGAUCACAAGCUGAUAAUAAACAGAUUUCUCUUUUGCGGGGUGAGAUUGAGGGCCUGCACCAAGAGAUUAUGCAUGCUAGAACUGCUAUUGAUUAUGAAAAGAAGGCCAACAUUGAGCUGGUGGAGCAGAGGCAGGCAAUGGAGAAGAACAUGGUUUCUAUGGCACGUGAAGUUGAAAAGCUACGGGCUGAACUUGCUAGUACUGAUGCUCGACCCCGGGUUGCUGGUGGACCAUAUGGGAUGAAGUAUGGUAAUCCAGAGGGCGCGUUUCCUCAUGCACCUUAUGGGGAUGGAUAUGGGGUUCAUAUGGCUGCUGACAAAGGUCCUUUGUAUGGCCCUGGUCCUGCUUCAUGGGACAAGUCCCGCAUGCCUCGUCAUUGAUGACUGCUGUUCAAAUGGAAAAGUUGUUACUUUUGCCACCUUAUCCUGUUCAAUAUCUCAGUAGAUGGAAAACUGGGAUUAACAGCAGAGAAAGUCAGGGACAUUUGAUGAGGCGAAAUGGAAAGGAAUACAAGGGGAAAACAUAACACAGAAUUCGCCAAUGUUGGAAGAAUAGAAUUAAGAGUGAUGGGGUGUUUGAAUUUGACCAUCCUCAAUUAAUCAAAUUUGACCUCCAUCAAAAAGAAGAGGGAAAUGAGAAGCAGCAUCAAUGGUAUCAAAUUUUGAAGAAGUCACCGCCAACCACUGUUGCCAACUGAAGCGAUUCUGAUGUAUUACGAUGGCUUCUUUGUGCACAGUUGCCUUCAAUAUUUUGGCCUGGCUGAAAAGACAAUUGUAGUCAUCAACUUCAUUGUUGAAAAGAAAACUUGGAAGCGCUGUGGUGAUUUCCCUGUAGAACUCAUCAUUUCACAUCUCACAAGUCUAUGAGCAACCAGAAAAAAUUAAACUAAUGAUAAAACAAACUCGAGAUCAUAAUGAAAUGGAGUGCGGAUUCAUGGAAGCAAGCUUCUUUAAAUGAGAAAGAGGCGUAUGCUGCAAAAGGGCUGAGUUCUGAAUCUUUGUUGAUUAUGGGGUUUUCAUCGCCAAAUGUCUUGUUCAAACAAAUUGCUUCAGUGAAAAGAAGGGAUAAGAAGUGGACUCUCUCUUUCCAAAUUUUUAACAAGAGAAGGGUUUCUCCGCCUUAUCAAUAAUGAUUGCUUCGGGAUAUUCCUCUGAAAGCUGCAAGUCAGAUUCUUGCAGUGGCAUGUAACAUCUGCUUGACCUCAAAACUACCAUAGAAAUGAUGGCUAAACUUACAGUAGUGGCACAAUUAGACAAGCUGAUAAAUUUUAAUCAGCCGCAGCUGGAGGAUGAAAGGUUAUGCUUGGCUAGUA
RNA transcript from Manihot esculenta (cassava), 1892 nucleotides. It is a transcript of the gene named protein FLX-like 3, with no coding region annotated. The record is from RefSeq and is a predicted model, not a curated record. The transcript has 7 exons. NCBI's taxonomy places the organism in Eukaryota, Viridiplantae, Streptophyta, Magnoliopsida, Malpighiales, Euphorbiaceae.